GACGAACGCUGGCGGCGGGCUUAACACAUGCAAGUCGAACGGAAAGGCCCUGCUUUUGUGGGGUGCUCGAGUGGCGAACGGGUGAGUAACACGUGAGUAACCUGCCCUUGACUUUGGGAUAACUUCAGGAAACUGGGGCUAAUACCUGCGAGGAGCUCCUGCUGCAUGGUGGGGGUUGGAAAGUAUCGGCGGUGGGGGAUGGACUCGCGGCUUAUCAGCUUGUUGGUGGGGUAGUGGCUUACCAAGGCUUCGACGGGUAGCCGGCCUGAGAGGGUGAACGGCGACCUUGGGACUGCGAGACGGCCCAGUCGCCAACGGGAGGCAGCAGUGGGGAGUAUUGCACAAUGGGGGGAAGCGUGAUGCAGCAACGCUGCGAGCGGGAUGACGGCCUUCGGGGUGUAAACCGCUUUCGGCUGUGACGAAGCGUGAGUGACGGUAAUGGGUAAAGAAGCACCGGCUAACUACGUG
This 468-nucleotide ribosomal RNA is filed under the name uncultured bacterium. RNAcentral's name for it is "partial 16S ribosomal RNA". It matches the Rfam family "Bacterial small subunit ribosomal RNA", at positions 28 to 507 of the family's 1533-position model. The record is from RNAcentral.